Molecule: small RNA, 119 nt
Filed under: Sinorhizobium meliloti 2011
Lineage: Bacteria; Pseudomonadati; Pseudomonadota; Alphaproteobacteria; Hyphomicrobiales; Rhizobiaceae
Description: putative ncRNA
Source: RNAcentral
GACACCGGAGCGAAAGGCGUAUUCGCGCUGCAUUUCGUCCGGCGGCACGGUCGGCAGCAGUGCGACUCCGUUCGAAUCCACUGCCCAUGCACCGGCAAAGUCGUUGCCGGUGAUGAUGA